Talpa occidentalis (Iberian mole) is the source of this 793-nucleotide long non-coding RNA. RefSeq lists it as uncharacterized. Lineage: Eukaryota; Metazoa; Chordata; Mammalia; Eulipotyphla; Talpidae. The record is from RefSeq and is a predicted model, not a curated record. The transcript has 4 exons.
CAUAGGACAGGAAGGGGAAGAAGUUAAGAAAGGAUGUGAUUUUAAGUGAAGUCUCAGGCUCAGCUUAGUCCAUGUAAGUUCUGGAGGGAGGGGUUGUCAGCUUCCGGUACAUCCAAGUCAGGUGACUCCCAGAACCCAGAGCAACCUUCCAAAGGCUGUCCAGGCAAGCUAUGAGCAGCAAAGCAUGCAACAGGGGAUGGGUUCACAGAGCAUUAAAGGAAUCCGAGUGGGCCCAGGCAAGGCACCUCCUGUGUCCACUACAGAAGCAAAGCACAGAGCCCAGAGUUGAUGUGUUGGCUCACCUGCCCCCAGGGGUGACAGCAGAGGGAGUGUGGACUUCUCACCCCUGAACCUAACUUGAAGAUAUGCUCACUCCUUUCCUGGUGGGUGGUCUUUCCUUGGUUCCAUCUCUCCAGAUGGGUGCAGACAGGAAACAGAGUCCACCUUCUAAUAAACUUCACUUACUGGACUGUGGCCUCAUGAGAAAAAGAGGAGAGGUCUCUUUCUCUCCGCACCAUGUGAAGACAGCAUAAAGACAGCCAUCUCCAAGCCAGGAAAAGAACUCUCACUAGAAAUGGAAUCAGCCAGCACCUUGAUCUUGGACUUCUAACCUCCAGAGCUGUGAGAACAAAUGACCGUUAUUUGAGCCAACCAGUCUGUGGUAUUUUGCUAUGGCCAUCCAAGCAAACUAAUACAAGCCUCAAUAGAUAAUUAAUACAACUUCAUAAGUGAUGUUAUUAAAUUCAUGUUCAUCACAUCAGAAGUGUUCUUUGCAAAGAAAAGUUGUCCCUCA